AAACUUUCAACAACGGAUCUCUAGGCUCUUGCAUCGAUNAANAACGCANUGAAAUGCGAUACGUAAUGUGAAUUGCAGAAUCUCGUGAAUCAUUGAAUCUUUGAACGCACAUUGCGCCCUGUGGUAUUCCAUAGGGCAUGCCUGUCUGAGCGUCAGCU
Molecule: ribosomal RNA, 158 nt
Filed under: Peziza echinospora
Lineage: Eukaryota; Fungi; Ascomycota; Pezizomycetes; Pezizales; Pezizaceae
Description: 5.8S ribosomal RNA
Rfam family: 5.8S ribosomal RNA
About the family: 5.8S ribosomal RNA (5.8S rRNA) is a component of the large subunit of the eukaryotic ribosome. It is transcribed by RNA polymerase I as part of the 45S precursor that also contains 18S and 28S rRNA.
Source: RNAcentral